CACGUAGGGCGCAAGCGUUGUCCGGAAUUAUUGGGCGUAAAGAGCUCGUAGGCGGUCUGUUACGUCUGCUGUGAAAACCCAGGGCUUAACCCUGGCUUGCAGUGGAUACGGGCAGACUAGAGGCAGGUAGGGGAGAAUGGAAUUCCCGGUGUAGCGGUGAAAUGCGCAGAUAUCGGGAGGAACACCGGUGGCGAAGGCGGUUCUCUGGGCCGAAACUGGCGCUGAGGAGCGAAAGCAUGGGGAGCGAACAGG
RNAcentral lists this ribosomal RNA (252 nucleotides) under uncultured bacterium. Its description in RNAcentral is "partial 16S ribosomal RNA". It matches the Rfam family "Bacterial small subunit ribosomal RNA", at positions 524 to 776 of the family's 1533-position model. The record is from RNAcentral.